UUGCUUGGGCGCUGUGGACGAUUCCACAC
This 29-nucleotide small RNA is filed under the name Bombyx mori (domestic silkworm). RNAcentral's name for it is "ovarian small RNA-37968". Lineage: Eukaryota; Metazoa; Arthropoda; Insecta; Lepidoptera; Bombycidae. The record is from RNAcentral.